Molecule: unclassified non-coding RNA, 220 nt
Filed under: Hevea brasiliensis (rubber tree)
Lineage: Eukaryota; Viridiplantae; Streptophyta; Magnoliopsida; Malpighiales; Euphorbiaceae
Source: RNAcentral
GAGUCAUACAAAUGAGUUGGAGCAGGCAGCUGCCUUGAAAUACCUGUAUGGAUGGCUUCGUAAUCAUCCAAAGUAUGGAACACUUGCCACUCCAGAGCUUGCUGAUUCAUUAUAUUAUGCUGAUGUUGCUAGAUUAUUCAACGAAGCUUCUCAGAUAUCACCUGAGGAUGCUGAUGUGCACAUCGUACUUGGUGUCCUAUAUAAUUUAUCCAGGGAAUAU